Molecule: long non-coding RNA, 989 nt
Organism: Oreochromis aureus
Lineage: Eukaryota; Metazoa; Chordata; Actinopteri; Cichliformes; Cichlidae
Exons: 4
Source: RefSeq, a predicted model, not a curated record
GAAAGCGAAGGCAGGAGCGUGAGGUGAACUGAAUUUCAGUGCACUUCGGGUGUCAUUGUCCCCCAUUUCGCCCAGGUGGGACCGUCUCGUUGCAGAGAAACAAGCACAGGGCUCUCACUGAUUGAGCGUUAUGACAAAAAUGACUCCAAGAUUCCUCACAGUGUUCCUGAAGGCCAAGGUAAUGCCAUCCCAAUUCCUGUCAGUGGAGGAACUCUUAUUCCCCUGAUAUCGCCCCACAGAAUGCUUGCUUGUAGCUGAGCACUGAGCCUCAUCAAUGGAGCCAUUGUCAACUGGCAGCCUGUGCACAUGCUGUAAAACCUGAAGUGCCAAAAGGUAUGAGAUAAAAUACUUGUAGUGAAAACCUUUGUCCACAAUUCUAUGAAUUUGGUGUGUUUGGUGACAACAUGACUGCUCCUCAUAAUCUGCUACCAAACUGUUAUAGUAGCAGUAACUUCAGACAACACAAUAUGGAUAUGCAAAAGAGGCCACCUGAAAAUUGCUCCAUCAUUAUUAUCAUUAUCAUUAUUAUUAUUAUUGUUAUUGUUAUUAUUAUUAUCCAUUAAUGCUUGUGUUGUUUCUGGAAACCAGUCACGGUUCACCACAAUCUCUAUUUAGAAAUGUGUAAUUCAGCAUGUGUCUCUGUAACUAUCUUUUUUUUAAUUGCAUUUUCAUAAUUGCUGAAAAAUGGUUACACAGUCUUUGUCAAAGUCACUUUGGGAUCCCUACAGGCAAAUGUCCUCUAGCUGUCCUCUGUGUCUGCAAUGUUGCCUUCUAAUAGUUCGAUCCCCUCAGUUCUCACUACCUUCCCUCUUUGUUAUUAUCCGACUACAUUUCUCCAGUCCAAACGACAAUGUCAUUGCUGUAUAUCCUGGUGGUGUUGAUCAGGAUAUACAGGACAUAUAAUUGAUGUCUUGUUCACUCUUGCCAUACAGCUUGCUGUUAUCCAUGUAGAGGAGGUGGCUGACAGUUGCUCCACUCUGUAGUCGGUA